GUCAUGAUAACUCAGUUGGUUAGAGGAUGGAGCUAAGACCAAGGUUGCAGGUUCGAUUCUUGCAAGAGACA
Podarcis lilfordi (Lilford's wall lizard) is the source of this 71-nucleotide non-coding RNA. The record is from the annotation of a GenBank genome assembly. NCBI's taxonomy places the organism in Eukaryota, Metazoa, Chordata, Lepidosauria, Squamata, Lacertidae.